This 489-nucleotide ribosomal RNA is filed under the name Orbilia tonghaiensis. Its description in RNAcentral is "SSU rRNA". It matches the Rfam family "Eukaryotic small subunit ribosomal RNA", at positions 59 to 554 of the family's 1831-position model. Lineage: Eukaryota; Fungi; Ascomycota; Orbiliomycetes; Orbiliales; Orbiliaceae. The record is from RNAcentral.
UCUAGUAUAAGCACUAUACAGUGAAACUGCGAAUGGCUCAUUAAAUCAGUUAUCGUUUAUUUGAUAGUACCUUACUACUUGGAUAACCGUGGUAAUUCUAGAGCUAAUACAUGCUAAAAAUCCCGACCUCCGGAAGGGAUGUAUUUAUUAGAUAAAAAACCAAUGCCUUCGGGCUCACUGGUGAUUCAUGAUAACUUAACGAAUCGCAUGGCCUUGCGCCGGCGAUGGUUCAUUCAAAUUUCUGCCCUAUCAACUUUCGAUGGUAGGAUAGUGGCCUACCAUGGUUUCAACGGGUAACGGGGAAUUAGGGUUCUAUUCCGGAGAGGGAGCCUGAGAAACGGCUACCACAUCCAAGGAAGGCAGCAGGCGCGCAAAUUACCCAAUCCCAAUUCGGGGAGGUAGUGACAAUAAAUACUGAUACAGGGCUCUUUCGGGUCUUGUAAUUGGAAUGAGUACAAUUUAAAUCCCUUAACGAGGAACAAUUGGAGG